CGCUAUCACUCCUACGGGGAGGCAGCAGUAGGGAAUCUUCCACAAUGGGCGCAAGCCUGAUGGAGCAACACCGCGUGAGUGAAGAAGGGUUUCGGCUCGUAAAGCUCUGUUGUUUAAAGAAGAACACGUAUGAGAGUAACUGUUCAUACGUUGACGGUAUUUAACCAGAAAGUCACGGCUAACUACGUGCCAGCAGCCGCGGUAAUACGUAGGUGGCAAGCGUUAUCCGGAUUUAUUGGGCGUAAAGAGAGUGCAGGCGGUUUUCUAAGUCUGAUGUGAAAGCCUUCGGCUUAACCGGAGAAGUGCAUCGGAAACUGGAUAACUUGAGUGCAGAAGAGGGUAGUGGAACUCCAUGUGUAGCGGUGGAAUGCGUAGAUGUAUGGAAGAACACCAGUGGCGAAGGCGGCUACCUGGUCUGCAACUGACGCUGAGACUCGAAAGCAUGGGUAGCGAACAGGAUUAGAUACCCUGGUAG
Molecule: ribosomal RNA, 475 nt
Filed under: uncultured bacterium
Lineage: Bacteria
Description: bacterial SSU rRNA
Rfam family: Bacterial small subunit ribosomal RNA
Source: RNAcentral